Molecule: ribosomal RNA, 494 nt
Filed under: uncultured bacterium
Lineage: Bacteria
Description: partial 16S ribosomal RNA
Rfam family: Bacterial small subunit ribosomal RNA
Source: RNAcentral
GACGAACGCUGGCGGCGUGCUUAACACAUGCAAGUCGAACGGUGAAGCGCCUUCCUUUUUGGUGGGUGUGGAUGAGUGGCGAACGGGUGAGUAACACGUGAGUAACCUGCCCCCUUCUUCUGGAUAACCGCAUGAAAGUGUGGCUAAUACGGGAUAUUCUGGGUCUGUCGCAUGAUGGGUCUGGGAAAGAUAUUGUUUCGGUGGGGGAUGGGCUCGCGGCCUAUCAGCUUGUUGGUGGGGUGAUGGCCUACCAAGGCGGUGACGGGUAGCCGGCCUGAGAGGGUGGACGGUCACACUGGGACUGAGGCACGGCCCAGACUCCUACGGGAGGCAGCAGUGGGGAAUAUUGCACAAUGGGCGCAAGCCUGAUGCAGCGACGCCGCGUGAGGGAUGGAGGCCUUCGGGUUGUGAACCUCUUUCGCCAGUGAAGCAGGCCUGCCUAGUUUGUGGGUGGGUUGACGGUAGCUGGAGAAGAAGCGCCGGCUAACUACGUG